This 72-nucleotide transfer RNA is filed under the name Camelus dromedarius (Arabian camel). It matches the Rfam family "tRNA". From Rfam's summary of the family: Transfer RNA (tRNA) molecules are approximately 80 nucleotides in length. RNAcentral also lists the same sequence under 1 other name. The record is from Rfam by way of RNAcentral. Lineage: Eukaryota; Metazoa; Chordata; Mammalia; Artiodactyla; Camelidae.
GAGGGUGUAGCUCAGUGGUAGAGCGCAUGCUUAGCAUGCAUGAGGUCCUGGGUUCAAUCCUCAGUACCACCA